Molecule: ribosomal RNA, 447 nt
Filed under: uncultured Pelagibacterales bacterium
Lineage: Bacteria; Pseudomonadati; Pseudomonadota; Alphaproteobacteria; Candidatus Pelagibacterales
Description: bacterial SSU rRNA
Rfam family: Bacterial small subunit ribosomal RNA
Source: RNAcentral
GAGAUGUGGGUAGUCCGCACGAGCGCACCUCACUUUUAGUUGCCAUCAUUAAGUUGGGCACUCUGAAAGAACUGCCAGUGAUAAGCUGGAGGAAGGUGGGGAUGACGUCAAGUCCUCAUGGCCCUUACGUGUUGGGCUACACACGUGCUACAAUGGCAUCUACAACAGGAAGCAAAACGGCAACGUUAAGCAAAUCCCGAAAAGAUGCCUCAGUUCGGAUUGCACUCUGCAACUCGAGUGCAUGAAGCUGGAAUUACUAGUAAUCGUGGAUCAGCGUGCCACGGUGAAUGCGUUCCCGGGUCUUGUACACACCGCCCGUCACACCAUGGGAGUUGGUUCUACCUUAAGGCAAGGUUUUAUACCCUUGACCACGGUAUAGUCAGCGACUGGGGUGAAGUCGUAACAAGGUAGCCGUAGGGGAACCUGCGGCUGGAUUACCUCCUUUCU